ACAGCAGAGACAGGAGAGACAGGAGCAGAUCAGACAGCUCCAGAGACAACUGGACUACAGCACAAGGGUGUGCCACUCACUGGGACAGAACCAGCAGUCUGUACUCUCCCUGAGCCCUUAUGGCAUCAGCCCUGGACAUACACAGGUCUACCUCAUCAGGAACCAACUCAACCACUGCUGCACCAAGCUGGCCAGACAACAGAACAACAUCCAAAGAAUGAGGCAGCUUUUGAAUGAUCUCCUACACGAACAACAGUCUCAACCUCCCUUGCCUCCCCCAGUAAAUACCUUGAAGAUGAGUGGCAUCA
This is a long non-coding RNA of Coregonus clupeaformis (lake whitefish), 308 nucleotides long. RefSeq lists it as uncharacterized. NCBI's taxonomy places the organism in Eukaryota, Metazoa, Chordata, Actinopteri, Salmoniformes, Salmonidae. The record is from RefSeq and is a predicted model, not a curated record. The transcript is spliced from 3 exons.